UUUAUUUCAUUUUUCUAUAGAGCUUUGAUCCCCCUCUUGGGAUUUAUCAAUAGUUUCAUCCUCUUUCAUUCUCUUUAGACUUUAGAAACUAAGUGGUGACAUCAGGAAAAUGUCAUGUGGGCAAGCUCACGCACCAUUCUUUGAAGCCGCACGCGUUCCCCGGGGCUAUUGGGAAAGGCGAGCUAGCAGAUCCCCCGGCUGUCUGCCCAUGACUAAUUCAAAGCAAAGCAAAGACACACUCGAUGCAUUCCUUUUGUGCAGUAACAAUGGAAAUGAAUGCAUAGAUUUAUUCACCUUUAAUAUUUCCUAUGAGAAGACACCAAGGUCGUCUUCUGCCAUUGUAGCAAUCAGCUUGCAGAAUGCUGUAAGAACAGAAGGAAGGCCGCUGGGACAGGAUGGCUUCACAACCCCUGCUCAUCGCUCCAGGGAGACAGUAGCAACCACGAAUAAAUAAAACCAUCCAAGAACACAGCUGCACCUUUUAUUGGUACGGUGACUUUCCAAAGGCUGGUAUGAAUACAAAGUUCCAAGUAGCACUGCCUGAUGGCACUGCCUGAUGGCACUGCCGAGGACUUCCGGACAGCCACAGAAGCACACGGGUAAACAGGGCGGUUGUGUUACUGGGAGGGUGGAGGAGAUACAGCAGGUGAGCCAUGCAGCGCAGCUCGGAGGGGACAGAAACCUUGGGAUGUGGGGCACCAGCAGCACAUCUCCACCGGCUCCUCUGUACUGUGCAGACUGCAAGUGGAACCGACCCGGUCACACCACUGGCUAUGAAUGUGAAGCCACACGUGUGUAACUGAGCUCCCGGAACCUAGGGUGACGCCAGGAGGUGACAUGUGGGUAAAGAGCUCGCAGUGCACUUGAGCAGAGACAUUGCACAGAAAGGCUGUGCCCUGAGGCCAGGAGAGCCGAGAACCUGGGGCUCCGUGUGGGCGCGCGCGGGCUCCACUCUGGCCAAGCUAAAGCAGUGACAUAGUCUCGAGGAUUUCAGGUCCUUCAGGCUUAAUUAAAAAAAAAAAAAAAAAAAGGCGUGUGGAGGAAAGAAAAUUCUAGAAAUGCAUUUUUAAAAAAAUGUGUGUGUUGAAGGGAGCACCACCAAUUGUAUCAGGUUAUAAAACAAGGUCCUAAACAUGUAAAUAAUGAUCAGGUUUGUAAUUCCAAUAAAACACAACUGCAAAGAAAUCA
This 1188-nucleotide long non-coding RNA is filed under the name Vulpes vulpes (red fox). RNAcentral describes it as "lncRNA (ENSVVUG00000020781.1)". The record is from RNAcentral. Lineage: Eukaryota; Metazoa; Chordata; Mammalia; Carnivora; Canidae.